AUUGAACGCUGGCGGCAGGCCUAACACAUGCAAGUCGAGCGGAAGAAGGGAGCUGCCUCCUGGUUUCAGCGCCGGAGGGGGGCGGAAUGCCUAUGACUCUGCCUGUGCGUGGGGGAUAACGUCCGCAAACGGGCGCUAAAACCGCAUCCGCCCAGAGUGGGAAAACGGGGGAGCUUCGGCCCUCACCCUAUCAGAUGAGCCUAGGUCGGAUUAGCUAGUUGGUGGGGUAAAGGCCAACCAAGGCGACGAUCCCUAACUGGUCUGAGAGGAUGAUCAGUCACACUGGAACUGAGACACGGUCCAGACUCCUACGGGAGGCAGCAGUGGGGAAUAUUGGACAAUGGGCGAAAGCCUGAUCCAGCCAUGCCGCGUGUGUGAAGAAGGUCUUCGGAUUGUAAAGCACUUUAAGUUGGGAGGAAGGGCAGUAAGUUAAUACCUUGCUGUUUUGACGUUACCAACAGAAUAAGCACCGGCUAACUUCGUG
This 484-nucleotide ribosomal RNA is filed under the name uncultured bacterium. Its description in RNAcentral is "partial 16S ribosomal RNA". It matches the Rfam family "Bacterial small subunit ribosomal RNA", at positions 30 to 507 of the family's 1533-position model. The record is from RNAcentral.